GAGGCAGCAGUGGGGAAUCCUACGGGGAGGCAGCAGUGGGGAAUAUUGGACAAUGGGCGCAAGCCUGAUCCAGCAAUGCCGCGUGAGUGAUGAAGGCCUUAGGGUUGUAAAGCUCUUUUACCCGGGAUGAUAAUGACAGUACCGGGAGAAUAAGCUCCGGCUAACUCCGUGCCAGCAGCCGCGGUAAUACGGAGGGAGCUAGCGUUGUUCGGAAUUACUGGGCGUAAAGCGCACGUAGGCGGCGAUCUAAGUCAGAGGUGAAAGCCCGGGGCUCAACCCCGGAAUAGCCUUUGAGACUGGAUUGCUUGAAUCCAGGAGAGGUGAGUGGAAUUCCGAGUGUAGAGGUGAAAUUCGUAGAUAUUCGGAAGAACACCAGUGGCGAAGGCGGCUCACUGGACUGGUAUUGACGCUGAGGUGCGAAAGCGUGGGGAGCAAACAGGAUUAGAUC
RNAcentral lists this ribosomal RNA (448 nucleotides) under uncultured bacterium. RNAcentral's name for it is "bacterial SSU rRNA". It matches the Rfam family "Bacterial small subunit ribosomal RNA", at positions 321 to 784 of the family's 1533-position model. The record is from RNAcentral.